Eptesicus fuscus (big brown bat) is the source of this 184-nucleotide long non-coding RNA. RefSeq lists it as uncharacterized. The record is from RefSeq and is a predicted model, not a curated record. Lineage: Eukaryota; Metazoa; Chordata; Mammalia; Chiroptera; Vespertilionidae. The transcript has 3 exons.
ACUUCCCUCCUCUCCAGCUGGAGAUGCGGCCUCUAGGGCGCUUGCAGCCCCAGCCACUCCCGCCUCCAGGAUGUCCCCUGCUCAGAAUGAAGACGUAAUCCUGGUCAGUAUGGCUCAGCAGUUGAGCAUAGACACAGGAACCAAGAGGUGAUUGCAAUGUAAAGCUGCUUUGAGAGCCACUGCU